RNAcentral lists this ribosomal RNA (492 nucleotides) under uncultured bacterium. RNAcentral describes it as "SSU rRNA". It matches the Rfam family "Bacterial small subunit ribosomal RNA", at positions 26 to 518 of the family's 1533-position model. The record is from RNAcentral.
AGGACGAACGCUGGCGGCGUGCUUAACACAUGCAAGUGGAGCGACGAACCAGGGCUUGCCCUGGGGCAGAGCCGCGAACGGGUGAGUAACACGUGGGUUACCUGCCCCGAUGACCGGGACAACCCGAGGAAACUCGGGCUAAUACCGGAUGUGCCCGCAAGGGGAAAGGAAGCUUCGGCCUCCGCAUCGGGAUGGGCCCGCGGCCCAUUAGCUUGUUGGUGAGGUAACGGCUCACCAAGGCUUCGAUGGGUAGCUGGUCUAAGAGGACGAUCAGCCACACUGGGACUGAGACACGGCCCAGACUCCUACGGGAGGCAGCAGUGGGGAAUCUUGCGCAAUGCGCGAAAGCGUGACGCAGCAACGCCGCGUGGGGGAAGAAGGCUUUCGGGUUGUAAACCCCUUUCAGUUGGGACGAAGCUCCGCAGGUGAAUAGCCGGCUGGGGUGACGGUACCUUCAGAAGAAGCACCGGCUAACUACGUGCCAGCAGCCGC